CCAGAGCUGCAAAGGCCUACACAUCUUUGACAAGGAAGGAGAAUCCUUGAGAGAGAUGGCUCGUGUACCAGAUACCCUGCAUCGGGCAGUUCUCAAUUCCCAGACGAGUAUAUCCAUAGCCAGCAUCCAUUGGCCUUUUCAUGAAUGCGAAAGGUCACAGCUGCAAAAGAGCUGAUCGAUGGGCAGCACCACAAAAGAUACACGGAGGGCAGCUUUCACGACUUCCUCGACUUCAUAUCCCCAACGAGCAAGACCGCUGGAAGGAAUUUAUAAACAGCCUUAAGAUAACGGCACCUUGAGACCGUUACUAGUUAGGCAACAACAGUACUCGUGGACUGCAGUCUAUAUUUCCUUGGAGCAAUGCUUAUUCUAAGACUAGACCGUAAAAGCUAAAUAAAGUUUUAGACGUUCGCAAUCAUGACAAGACAUCGCAUCAAACAUGUCAUAAACAGAUAUCAAUUGCAGAAGAUUGAAUGCGACUGCCAUUCAAAAGAAAAAUUAAAAGCAGAUAUCAAUACUUCGAGUACCUUUAAAAGUGGUGGUAUUAAGAACCAUUAGACCUUCGUUAAUACUUCGAGUACGGCCAGAAAAGUAACACUGCCUUCUCAGCAACCAUCAGACCUUACAUCCAGGAGCCUGUUAAGAGGUAGGUGUCUAUAGAAGUAUUUUGACAAACAAGCGUGCUAAUUCAGUAAAAGAGAGUAAGUUGACGAGUAAAAUUAUCUUACAAAAAGCAAGUCUAUUUAUUUAGUUCUUUUUUUGACCUGAAAGAGAAAAAAAAAAUUAGAAUUCAGUAUCCCCUUAUGCUACCGGAUGAACCUGAGGCACAGACAUGGUCCAUGGUCAGAAAUAAUUGUAAUAAGACAUCUGAAACUGUGAUAUCAAACUCUAAUGUAUGAUAAAUAAACACUUAAAAAACGACGUACACUAAUG
RNAcentral lists this long non-coding RNA (933 nucleotides) under Musa acuminata (dwarf banana). Its description in RNAcentral is "long non-coding RNA (MACU_LNC002767)". The record is from RNAcentral. Lineage: Eukaryota; Viridiplantae; Streptophyta; Magnoliopsida; Zingiberales; Musaceae.